GGCCCCAUCGUCUAGUGGCCUAGGACGUAGCCCUCUCACGGCUAAGACCCGGGUUCGACUCCCGGUGGGGUCA
RNAcentral lists this transfer RNA (73 nucleotides) under Pseudomonadota bacterium. RNAcentral describes it as "tRNA-Glu". It matches the Rfam family "tRNA". Rfam says of the family: Transfer RNA (tRNA) molecules are approximately 80 nucleotides in length. The record is from RNAcentral. RNAcentral also lists the same sequence under 3 other names. Lineage: Bacteria; Pseudomonadati; Pseudomonadota.